This 402-nucleotide ribosomal RNA is filed under the name uncultured bacterium. RNAcentral describes it as "bacterial SSU rRNA". It matches the Rfam family "Bacterial small subunit ribosomal RNA", at positions 355 to 774 of the family's 1533-position model. The record is from RNAcentral.
UGGGGAAUCUUGCACAAUGGGGGAAACCCUGAUGCAGCGACGCCGCGUGAACGAUGAAGCCCUUCGGGGUGUAAAGUUCUUUCGACAGGAACGAUAAUGACGGUACCUGGAGAAGAAGCUGCGGCUAACUACGUGCCAGCAGCCGCGGUAAUACGUAGGCAGCGAGCGUUGUUCGGAGUUACUGGGCGUAAAGAGUGCGUAGGCGGCGAGCCAAGUUUGGUGUGAAAUCUCCCGGCUUAACCGGGAGGGUGCGCCGAAAACUGGUUGGCUGGAGUAUGGGAGAGGAAAGCGGAAUUCCUGGUGUAGCGGUGAAAUGCGUAGAUAUCAGGAGGAACACCUGCGGUGUAGGCAGCUUUCUGGACCAAAACUGACGCUGAGGCACGAAAGCGUGGGUAGCAAACA